GAUCUGGCUCAGAUGAACGCUGGCGGCGUGCUUAACACAUGCAAGUCGCGCGUGAAAGGACUUCGGUCCGAGUAAAGCGGCGCACGGGUGAGUAACGCGUGGAUGAUCUACCCAUGAGUUAGGAAUAACGGCUGGAAACGGUCGCUAAUACCAAAUACGCUCCGAUUUCAACUUCGGGGGAAAGGUGGCCUCUGCUUGCAAGCUACUGCUCAUGGAUGAGUCCGCGUCCCAUUAGCUAGUUGGUGGGGUAACGGCCCACCAAGGCGACGAUGGGUAGCCGGUCUGAGAGGAUGACCGGCCACACUGGGACUGGAACACGGCCCAGACUCCUACGGGAGGCAGCAGUGGGGAAUAUUGCGCAAUGGGCGAAAGCCUGACGCAGCGACGCCGCGUGAGGGAUGAAGGUCCUCGGAUCGUAAACCUCUGUCAGGAGGGAAGAACCGCCACGGUGCUAAUCAGCCGUGGUCUGACGGUACCUCCAAAGGAAGCACCGGCUAACUCCGUGCCAGCCGCAGC
This 516-nucleotide ribosomal RNA is filed under the name uncultured bacterium. Its description in RNAcentral is "bacterial SSU rRNA". It matches the Rfam family "Bacterial small subunit ribosomal RNA", at positions 15 to 518 of the family's 1533-position model. The record is from RNAcentral.